This 649-nucleotide long non-coding RNA is filed under the name Saimiri boliviensis boliviensis (Bolivian squirrel monkey). RNAcentral's name for it is "lncRNA (ENSSBOG00000036583.1)". Lineage: Eukaryota; Metazoa; Chordata; Mammalia; Primates; Cebidae. The record is from RNAcentral.
CUGCCUUGCUUUAUCGCAUAUGUGUUUGUCUCUAUGUUUUCUUUGCCAGGUCAGCGUCAGAUAGUGCAAGACGAGGACUGCGUUACAUGCCCUAUCAUGCUUUUACACGGCAGUGCUCUGUAAUUCUACCGAGCAGCUGUUUGAGGAGCACAGAUCUCCAUCUUCUACAAGCCGAGAAGCAAAUGGGAAUUGUUGAUGAAGCUGUGGUCUGGGGUGCGGAGGCCAGGCAUCCAGUCCAACCUCACUUCUAACUAGCUGUGUGCCAUCAGGCCUGUGAGAGCCUCCUGAUCAUUACCUACAGAUAGACACUCAGAUGGAUAUAUGUCCUCUGAAUGCAGAAACAGUCACAUGGACAAACACCUUGAGCCCUGGCUUAUCGGAAAUGCUCAAGCACCAGGGUGAUGAAUUUCACGGAUUAACCAAAGACCAAAACCUACCUACUCAAGUCAGAGAGCCUGACAGUCAAAUCCUGAAGCUCUGACACUGCCCAAUCAAGUGGGGACCUACUGCCUUUCAUGGAAAUAUUUCCUCUUCGUCCACUAAUCAAAGAUUUAUGAAUGACCUAUUGUGGGCAAGGAGCUCUACGGGGUUCCAGGGAUAUAAAGUUAGGUAAGCUAUGGUCCUUCUCCCAUGAAGUGGGGAUGAUAAA